GCGGGGGUGCCCGAGCCAGGUCAAAGGGGCAGGGUUGUCGGCUCAGCCGGCCCAGAGGUCCCUGUGGCGUAGGCCUGCGUGGGUUCAAAUCCCACCCCCCGCA
Thermoproteus tenax Kra 1 is the source of this 103-nucleotide non-coding RNA. Lineage: Archaea; Thermoproteati; Thermoproteota; Thermoprotei; Thermoproteales; Thermoproteaceae. The record is from Rfam.